GAUGAAGAACGCAGCGAAAUGCGAUAAGUAAUGUGAAUUGCAGAAUUCAGUGAAUCAUCGAAUCUUUGAACGCACAUUGCGCUCGCCAGUAUUCUGGCGAGCAUGCCUGUUCGAGCGUCAUUUCAACCAUCAAGCUCUGCUUGCGUUGGGGAUCCGCGUCUGACGCGGUCCCUCAAAAACAGUGGCGGGCUCGCUAGUCACACCGAGCGUAGUAACUCUACAUCGCUAUGGUCGUGCGGCGGGUUCUUGACGUAAAACCCCCAAUUUCUAAGGUUGACCUCGGAUCAGGUAGGAAUACCCGCUGAACUUAAGCAUAUCAAUAAGCGGAGGA
This 331-nucleotide unclassified non-coding RNA is filed under the name soil metagenome. RNAcentral describes it as "partial contains 5.8S ribosomal RNA, internal transcribed spacer 2, and large subunit ribosomal RNA". The stretch from base 1 to 120 matches the Rfam family "5.8S ribosomal RNA", at positions 35 to 154 of the family's 154-position model. The record is from RNAcentral.